RNAcentral lists this ribosomal RNA (528 nucleotides) under Triticum aestivum (bread wheat). Its description in RNAcentral is "partial small subunit ribosomal RNA". The record is from RNAcentral. Lineage: Eukaryota; Viridiplantae; Streptophyta; Magnoliopsida; Poales; Poaceae.
AUGCUCUCGACGAUCAGGGACUCGGUGCUCUGGCCGCUUUCUGCCUCUGGGCGGUUUUCUGUUAAGUCGCUCUAUUCUAAGCUAGUUGGUGGCACACCUACCAGUCGUUUUUCCCAAGUUUGGAAGGCCCGUAUUCCCCCUAAGAUAAAAAUUUUCUUGUGGCAAGCCUCUCGAGGCCGGCUGCCCUCGGCUGAUCAGAUUCGUAAGAGAAACGGGCCGGGUUCCCAGUUUUGUGCUCUUUGUGGUGAGGUGGAGGAUUCGGAUCAUAUCUUUUUUCACUGUCACCUGGCUAAGCUUAUUUGGAGUUGUGUGCGGGACUGGCUUUAUGUGUCUUGGGCCCCUGCCUCCUUUGCUGAGUUGCGCAGCCUGGCAUCCAACCUUUCCGGUGUUUCUAGACGGAUCUUUUGGGUGGGCUUGGGGGCUUUAUGCUGGUCUCUGUGGACUACUAGGAACAAAUUUACUAUCGAGCACGUGUUUCCGGCUAAACCGGCUGACUGCUUAUUUAAACCGUGUGCUUUCCUGCAGUAG